This 448-nucleotide ribosomal RNA is filed under the name uncultured bacterium. RNAcentral describes it as "bacterial SSU rRNA". It matches the Rfam family "Bacterial small subunit ribosomal RNA", at positions 330 to 795 of the family's 1533-position model. The record is from RNAcentral.
GCCAGACUCCUACGGGAGGCAGCAGUGGGGAAUAUUGCACAAUGGGCGAAAGCCUGAUGCAGCAACGCCGCGUGAAGGAAGAAGGCCUUCGGGUCGUAAACUUCUGUCCUUGGGGAAGAAGAUGACGGUACCUGAGUAAGAAGCCCCGGCUAACUACGUGCCAGCAGCCGCGGUAAUACGUAGGGGGCAAGCGUUAUCCGGAUUUACUGGGUGUAAAGGGAGCGUAGACGGCAUAGCAAGUCUGAAGUGAAAGCCCAAGGCUCAACCAUGGGACUGCUUUGGAAACUGUUAAGCUAGAGUGCUGGAGAGGUAAGCGGAAUUCCUAGUGUAGCGGUGAAAUGCGUAGAUAUUAGGAAGAACACCAGUGGCGAAGGCGGCGUACUGGACAGUAACUGACGUUGAGGCUCGAAAGCGUGGGGAGCAAACAGGAUUAGAUACACGUGUAUCC